UACGUAGGGGGCUAGCGUUGUCCGGAUUUAUUGGGCGUAAAGAGCGUGUAGGCGGCUAGGUAGGUCUGCUGUGAAAACUCGAGGCUCAACCUCGAGACGUCGGCGGAAACCAUCUGGCUAGAGUCCGGAAGAGGAGAGUGGAAUUCCUGGUGUAGCGGUGAAAUGCGCAGAUAUCAGGAAGAACACCCAUGGCGAAGGCGGCUCUCUGGGACGGUACUGACGCUGAGACGCGAAAGCGUGGGGAGCGAACAGG
This 253-nucleotide ribosomal RNA is filed under the name uncultured bacterium. RNAcentral describes it as "partial 16S ribosomal RNA". It matches the Rfam family "Bacterial small subunit ribosomal RNA", at positions 524 to 776 of the family's 1533-position model. The record is from RNAcentral.